GACGAACGCUGGCGGCGCGCUUAACACAUGCAAGUCGAGCGAGAACCAUUCCUUCGGGAAUGGGGACAGCGGCGAACGGGUGAGUAACACGUGGGUAAUCUGCCCUCGAUUCUGGGAUAGCCCGGGGAAACCCGGAUUAAUACCGGAUAGCCUCUCGAGCUUACGAGCUCGUGAGAAAAGGUAGCUUCGGCCUCCGAUCGAGGAUGAGCCCGCGGCGGAUUAGCUUGUUGGUGGGGUAANGGCCUACCAAGGCGACGAUCCGUAGCUGGUCUGAGAGGACGAUCAGCCACACUGGGACUGAGACACGGCCCAGACUCCUACGGGAGGCAGCAGUGGGGAAUCUUGCGCAAUGGGCGAAAGCCUGACGCAGCGACGCCGCGUGGGGGAAGAAGGCCU
Molecule: ribosomal RNA, 396 nt
Filed under: uncultured bacterium
Lineage: Bacteria
Description: bacterial SSU rRNA
Rfam family: Bacterial small subunit ribosomal RNA
Source: RNAcentral